Molecule: ribosomal RNA, 274 nt
Filed under: uncultured bacterium
Lineage: Bacteria
Description: partial 16S ribosomal RNA
Rfam family: Bacterial small subunit ribosomal RNA
Source: RNAcentral
AUACGGAGGGUGCGAGCGUUAUCCGGAUUUAUUAGGUUUAAAGGGUGUGUAGGCGGGAGCCUAAGUCAGUGGUGAAGUCUCACAGCUUAACUGUGAAACUGCCAUUGAAACUGGGUUUCUUGAGUAUAGUUGAGGUAGGCGGAAUGUGUAAUGUAGCGGUGAAAUGCAUAGAUAUUACACAGAACACCGAUUGCGAAGGCAGCUUACUAAGCUAUUACUGACGCUGAUGCACGAAAGCGUGGGUAGCGAACAGGAUUAGAUACCCCUGUAGUCC